GACGAACGCUGGCGGCGUGCUUAACACAUGCAAGUCGAACGGAAAGGCCCUGCUUUUGUGGGGUGCUCGAGUGGCGAACGGGUGAGUAACACGUGAGUAACCUGCCCUUGACUUUGGGAUAACUUCAGGAAACUGGGGCUAAUACCGGAUAGAAGCUCCUGCUGCAUGGUGGGGGUUGGAAAGUUUCGGCGGUUGGGGAUGGACUCGCGGCUUAUCAGCUUGUUGGUGGGGUAGUGGCUUACCAAGGCUUUGACGGGUAGCCGGCCUGAGAGGGUGACCGGCCACAUUGGGACUGAGAUACGGCCCAGACUCCUACGGGAGGCAGCAGUGGGGAAUAUUGCACAAUGGGCGGAAGCCUGAUGCAGCAACGCCGCGUGCGGGAUGACGGCCUUCGGGUUGUAAACCGCUUUCGCCUAUGACGAAGCGUGAGUGACGGUAAUGGGUAAAGAAGCACCGGCUAACUACGUG
Molecule: ribosomal RNA, 468 nt
Filed under: uncultured bacterium
Lineage: Bacteria
Description: partial 16S ribosomal RNA
Rfam family: Bacterial small subunit ribosomal RNA
Source: RNAcentral